RNAcentral lists this ribosomal RNA (513 nucleotides) under uncultured soil bacterium. Its description in RNAcentral is "bacterial SSU rRNA". It matches the Rfam family "Bacterial small subunit ribosomal RNA", at positions 26 to 517 of the family's 1533-position model. The record is from RNAcentral.
AGAGUGAACGCUGGCGGUAGGCCUAACACAUGCAAGUCGAACGGCAGCACAGUAGGAGCUUGCUCUUACGGGUGGCGAGUGGCGGACGGGUGAGGAAUACAUCGGAAUCUACCUUUUGGUGGGGGAUAACGUAGGGAAACUUACGCUAAUACCGCAUACGCCCUUCGGGGGAAAGCCGGGGACCAGCAAUGGCCUGGCGCUGAUAGAUGAGCCGAUGUCGGAUUAGCUAGUUGGUGAGGUAAUGGCUCACCAAGGCGACGAUCCGUAGCUGGUCUGAGAGGAUGAUCAGCCACACUGGAACUGAGACACGGUCCAGACUCCUACGGGAGGCAGCAGUGGGGAAUAUUGGACAAUGGGCGCAAGCCUGAUCCAGCCAUACCGCGUGGGUGAAGAAGGCCUUCGGGUUGUUAAAGCCCGUUUUGUUAGGAAGUAAAAGCAGUUACGGUUAAUACCCGGUGUUCUGACGGUACCCAAAGAACUAAGACAACCGGCUAACUUCGUGUCCAGCAGCCG